This 16547-nucleotide long non-coding RNA is filed under the name Lynx pardinus (Iberian lynx). Lineage: Eukaryota; Metazoa; Chordata; Mammalia; Carnivora; Felidae. The record is from RNAcentral.
AACAGGAAAUUUGUGAGAAUCCUCGAUUUAUCAUUGGUGGAGCCAACAGAACUGACAUCUGUCAAGGAGAUCUAGGUAGGAAAGUACCCUCGGGUCAUAUCCAGCCAAACAAUCAAGGGGUGAUUAAAAGGUGAUUAACAUCUGGUUUGGCUUUUAAAGAAUUUUGGGGAGGAGGUUUUUAUAACACUACUUUGUGCCCAUUUAUCUAUGUGCUGGUGAUGGUUUCAUUUAAUUUCUGUCCCCCCCCCCACGAUCUCAUGAGUUCACAGGGGAUAUGCCUCAGUCCACAGCAUCCUCCUGACAGUCUGAAGGACAUUUGCACACCCCACUCAGGAGGAUAAAAGCCCUGCUUUUAACUGCACCCAUUUCCUUAAAAGAGAGCCCUGAAACUGUCUGAAUACCAAGCAUGUCCCUUGAAUAUAUAUUGAAUCCAUAUGCACACAAAAAGUGCACUUGUAACUCAAACUCUUGUUUAAAACGCCCCAGCCAGAGUAGCUCCAUAUUAAUGGAGUCUUUCAACAAGGAUGACAUUUGCCAUAUUGAUGAGCACCCAGCGUUCUGUCCGGGUGGUCACCUUGGCUCUUCUACCAGACCUUCCUCUCUCAGGAAGUACUAUCUUUGGCGUGGACUGCAGGAAAGCUCUACACUUGAUCUUAGCCAAAAGGCCAAAAAGCGACUGACUGCAGGAAACUCUAUGAAGCAAAGGUGGAAAGAACAUCAACAGACCUACUUUAAAAUUUGAGGGAAAGGUGCACUCGAGACCAAAUGAAAGGAAUUUGGCCCCAGAAAGAGAGGCUGAGGAGGUUUUCAAUAUCGGGGUUCCUGCACCCGGGAGAAAGAUGUCUGCAGAGCCCUGGGAGAGCUAAUAACCUGGACUUCCUAACACUGUUUCAAAGGAGAGGCUUGCUUCUUCAGGGGUGGGGGUGGGGAGGACGGCUGCUGGGAGCUCUCAGUUUCCCCUCUACAGUCUCAAAGAUGCUGUCACAUCCACACAGGAAAUCAAAGGCCUUGCACAACUCAACCCAUCUGCUUAGAAGGAAAUUCUAUGACUGUCAGUGUGCCAGGCAUGCCCCUUGGGGAUUCUAUUUCUCUUUCUCUCUCUCUCUCUCUCAUACACACACACACACACACACACACACAGCAAAAUCACUAAAUAUAGCAUUCUGCCAGAAAGGAAGUUCAGAGAAUAAGAAAAUAUCCCCAUCUCAUUCCAUGGCCAGCAAUGUCUCAGCGCCCUCAAAAAGUGGCUGCAGAGAAGCUGCUUUACUGGCUUUCCUUCCAGUACAAGAGGGCUUGGCCGAUGGCUCUCAGAUGCUCAGUCUCCACUGAGGUAUGCACUCACAUUGCAAAAGUCCAGGAAGUACAGAUUUCAUCCAGGUGUUAGGAAGAAUGACACAUUUGACCUACUGCUCUGUGUUCAUUGAGGUCCAAAAAGGAAGUGAGCUUAUAUUACGGAAGGAGCCAUUGCCUAUACCCUUCUGGAAAACCAGUCAGAAGAGAGUAAGUCACCCUGAUCGAAUUGUCGAGGGACUGCCAUCAAACUCCUCCGGGUCGACCUCUCUGAGGUCAGAUCUGGAAGUAGGACAGUGAACACUAAGUGAACUUGUUCUUCAGAGAAGCAGAAGAAUCAGCUGGGAUUGGGCCUUUUUCUUCCCCGGAGGUGACCUAUGCCAUGUACUUUCCCCGCAGGGGACUGCUGGUUUCUCGCAGCCAUUGCUUGCCUGACCCUGAACGAGCGCCUGCUUUUCCGAGUCAUACCCCAUGAUCAGAGUUUCACUGAAAACUAUGCGGGCAUCUUCCACUUCCAGGUGAGGUCAUUGGAGUGUGGUUAAGAGGGCCAGCUGCUUUUCGGAAACCCACCUUUUCAGGAACACUUACCUCAAACACCACAAGCGUGUGGAGGUUUUCCCAUCACCACAAUGUGUUUGGAAUGUACCACUUACAUAUGUUAUUAUUUGUUUUCUAUAAUAUCAAAAUUGAUUUUUGAGAAUUCUUAUAGAUCAUUCAUAUGAUUAAACUUUUAUUAAAUGUUUUCACAAUUGUGUUUAAAAAAGAAAAAACAGUAAAGGAAGAGGGCCAGCUGCUGUCCACCCACCGCUGGUCUUCUGGCCUUGACUUUCCAGCGGCUUCAGGAAAGAUUCCACCCACCCUCCCAGUCUUGGCUGUGGGCAGUGACCCCCCUAAGGCCUCAGGCCUGUGAGGACGCAGUUGUUUAUCUCUGCCCCCUCAGCAGCCCCCCUCCCAAAACCCCAUCUUCCGCCAUGCUCCAGAAAGGCAGGAAGACAUCCUGUUUGCUGGCCUGUGGAUCUAUUUUUGCCUUUCCAUCUAUUUCUGCUGUGUUACCUGCAGCCUUUCUCAAGUAGGUUCCUAAGAUAUUAGCAUUGGCGGUUCAUAGGGCCCUUUAGUUUGCAAAGGAAACCCCCUGAAUGACUAUGGCUCCUUUCCCUGUUUUGCUUUAAAGGCAGGUCUAUACCAAGUCUAUCACUCACCUUUUCCAGGCCUUGGAAGGACAAUCUGGUCAAUCUGGGGACCAGGCUUCUGGCUCAGCCCAGAAAGGAGUCUUUUGGUUCCAGAAUCAACUAAACCAUUGGAAAUUUUCUAGAUCCAAAAUCUAGACGCAAAAUCAGAGAGCCAGAUCCUGGUGCUGGCCCAAAACUGAAGUGAGCUCCACACGUGGGGAUCUAGCAGAUGCUGGGAUUCUGAGGCAUCCAUCUGUUUCCAGCCCUGAAAGCACCCCCCCCCCCACAUGUCCUGGGACUGACCCAAAUCAUCAGUUGAUGUACCUGCUGAUUUUGUACCUCAGGACUGAAGGCUUGAGAGAAGGUCUUCUUUUCAGGUUCAGGUUCAGGUCCUGCUGCCCUCUGAACACGGGUAAGGCAGCCAGGCCCUCAUUUUCGUUUCUUCCCUGUGCCAUCAAGCUGCUAGUUUCCCUCUGAUAUUUAAAGGGUCUUCUACCUAAAUAGGGCCACAAAUAUAAAGACCACAUAGAUUUUUUUCCCCUCUUUUCAAUAAGGGAAAACAAUGUCAUUAGAGGGGAAAUUAAACCACAUUUGGCAGUCUUCAGUUAAAAUUGGUUUGUUCAAAAAAGAACAUUCAGAAUUGAAAUUAUUCAACAAUGUUCCUGUUAUAGCCAGAGUAUAUUCUGGGACACUCUCCUUUUCCCUAUCAGUCUUCUUCAGCAGCCAUUUCUACCUUGUUUGUCAUAAAGAGAUCUAUAAAUCAAUACGUCACCUUCACCUAGGCCAGCAGUUCUCAACGCUGCUGCAUAUUAGAAUCAGCUAAAAUACCUAAAAUAUGAUGCAUAGGCCCCACUCCAGACUUACUGAGCAGGAGAAUGACAAUCUCAAGCCCUCAGAUAUUCAUGGGGGACCUACCAUCCCUGAGGCUGGCCGGACUGUGUGCAAGAGAGAAAGCAAGAUAUAGCCCACGUUCCUGCCCCCAAGGAACUCACGGUCCAGUUAGAGAAAGAUACACACGCUCCAAAACCAAAAGAGUAUGAACAAGGACCAAGUGCAGAGCUGAGGCAAUGGGACCGCUUUGGGAUCAAAGAGAGUCUGAGGAAUGUGGAGGAGAGGCACGUGGUAACCUGACGAUGUGACUCUGUCCUUGGUGCCUCUGUGCAGUUCUGGCGCUACGGAGACUGGGUGGAUGUGGUCAUUGAUGACUGCCUGCCGACUUACAACAAUCAACUGGUUUUCACCAAGUCCAACCACCGCAAUGAAUUCUGGAGUGCUCUGCUGGAGAAGGCUUAUGCUAAGUAAGGCAACACUUGAGGAUGUGAGGCAGGGCUAAAGGUGGUGGGCUGCAAAAUCCAGCUGAAAUCUUGUCACAAGAGGCCGCGUGCAUGCACAUGUGCGCAUGCGUAACAGUUCAACUGGGUCCCUAAGUCUGAGGGGGUCGGGUCCAGGCAGCAACGGCUAUAACUAAAAAACUGUAUUUAAGGGGAGGAUGAAGACAUGUGUAGGAAAUCUUUAGCUUUAGCCUCCCAUAGUGAGCACUUUAAUUCUGCCUUCGUGGUGAUGUUGCAAGUCUUAUAUUUGAGCAUUAGAUCUUUGAAGCUCACAUUCCCAGAGUCUUGCUUGGCUCAACCUCAUGAUCACGCGGGAUAUUAAUAAAGCCAUGUUAUCUCUCAACUUGGAAGCUCCACCCCAGCUAUUUCUAAGGGCUCUAUGGAGCCCUUCCUUGGGGUUCAGGGUAUGGUGGAAAGAGAAGAGUCAGGAAGUGAGAAUGGCUGGGUUCCCAUCCCAGUGUUUCUGGUUCUCUGUGGCCUCGGGUAAGCCACUUAGCCUAUAAGACUCAGUUGCUCGAAAGUGAAGAAAGAGAAUCAUAGUAGCUACUCCAUUAGCUUACAGAGUUGUUGGAGAAUUAGAUAAGAGAACAUCACAGGACCCGAGAGUAAAAUUCUGGUGGCCCAGGGCCUGGGUCAUGUUUCCUGGAACCCUGUGACCUCAGAUUGGUCUUCAUUCUCUCUCCAAGGCUCCAUGGUUCGUAUGAGGCCCUGAAAGGUGGGAACACUACAGAGGCCAUGGAGGACUUCACAGGAGGGGUGACAGAGUUUUUUGAGAUCAAGGAUGCUCCCAGAGACAUGUACAAGAUCAUGAAGAAAGCCAUCGAGAGAGGCUCCCUCAUGGGCUGUUCCAUUGAUGUAAGCCUGGGGUGUGGUGUGCAGGGCAGGGAGCAGGCAACUAUCGGGAAGCCAUCCAUGUGAUGAAAAGCAAUGUAGGGCUUUCCUCUGGGACAGGGUGGAUGUUUUGUUUAAGGAAGCAGGAACUGGCUCUCAACUUUGAAAAUUUCUAAAGGAAGAAGAGUUCCUAGGGAUUUUCACUAAGGAGACUGGGCAAAGACACUCCAAGGCCUAGACUUUAGGUAGAAAUAGGUCCAGAGGCGUGUGUCAGCCCCGGCCUCUGUGGCCAGUGCUGCUCAACCCCAGCAUGCCCCCAAUUAAGCUGGCUGCAUAUCUGGUUCUGGACCUGAGCCAGCCAGUUCCCUGAGACAGCCUCUCAGUCACUGAGCUGUGAUCCUGUCUCUCACUUAGGACACGGGCCUUGUGUUGUGAUCUGGGAGAAGGUCGGCCUGCAGGCGCACUCUCAACACAACAGAGUAGUGUGAUCUGACACUGGGGCUAAGGGUAUGGAGACCCACAGAGUGGCCAGCCCUCCUGAGUUUCAGGAGACACACCUGCCCUGGGGGCUGCUCAGUGGAUAAUAGUCUUGGCUGGAGCUUUCCAUCACGGAGGAAGGAACUGAAGCUGAAUUCCUGAAUUUCCUUCCUCUGCUAAUACUCCAAAUGGGUCCAAAAGCUUGGGAAGAUCAGCUAGCAUUAAACACCCCUGGAUGAACAUUUUCUUUCUGCAUCACUUUUCUCCAUCUUGUCUCCAUUCACACUGUUUCUCUCUCCUCUUUCCCUUUGUCCCCUCCCUUCUUUCUGUCUCCUUCCCUUUCUAUCACCCUCCUUUGUUUGAUCUCUCCCUCCCUCUUCUGGACUGUCCCCGGCCCAUCCCGUCGGGCCUCAGGAUGGCACAAACAUGACCUAUGGAACCUCUCCUUCUGGGCUGAAAAUGGGGGAGUUGAUUGCACGGAUGGUGAGGAAUAUGGAUAACUCGCUGCUCAGGGACUCAGACCUCAUCCCCAGGGACUCAGAUGACAGACCAACCCGGGUGUGUACACCUCCAAUUGUCAGGAAUGACCACCCCUCCCACCUGCAUGACCCUGCAUGAGGCCUGUUGGUGUUAGACUCCCCUCAGCAGCCAGUGCCUUACAUGCAGACCUCCACAUGGGCCUUCCAGGGGGCUGGGGUGGAAUAACUUGCCUGCUCCAAGGCUCUUGGACAAGGUGGGGGAGACAGGAUUUGGAGGAACUCUCUGUGGGAGUUCUUUCAUACCCCGUGGUCCAGGCAGUUUCUCUGAUAACAAAUUAACAAGUAGAAAUACAAGAGACUUUGUUCAUUGUUAAAUAUUUCUUCUCUUCUAAUUCAGGUAUUCAUUCAACGCAGAUUUAUUGAGCUCCUACCAGGUGCCAGACACUCUUGUAGUAAACAAACAAAAAAAAUACAUUUUGUUCACUAAAAGAGUCUCUCCCCUCACAGAGUUUAUUUUCUAGUACUUUCAGAAGUAAUGCAUGCUCACUGAAAAAUACUUAUAGAAAAGCAUGGAGAAAAACUUAACACAUGUUUUCUCCCAUCUAAAGGUUGCAACUCUGAGUAUGUAGUAUAUGUCCUUCUAGGAUAUUUCUUUGCGUACAGUUAAUCUACAUUUUUAUUUUUAAAAUGUUGUCACACUGUAUGUACCUCUUUGCAUUGUGUCUUUUUUCAGUUAGCUUUAUGUUCUUCAUGUGCCAAUAUGAACUAUAUUGUUAAUGUGUCUCCCAGAACAUUCUUUAAUGUUUAUUUAUUUUUGAGAGAGAGAGAGCACCCGAGCAUGCGAGUGUGAGUGGGGGAGGGGCAGAGACACAGAGGGGAACAGAGAAUCCAAAGCGGGCUCUGCACUGACAGCAAUGAACCCGAUGCGGGGCUCAGACUCAUGAACCGUGAGAUCAUGACUUGGGCCAAAGUCAGUUGCUCAUCCGACUGAGCCACCCAGGUGCCCCUCAAAACAUUUUUUUAGUGGUUGCACAGUGUGCCAACACACAGAUAAGUUAUAAUUUAUUUACCCAAUACCCUAUCAUUGGAAAAUUAGAUUGUUUUCUCUUUCUUGUGUUGGCUAUUAUUUUUAAAUGCUAUCUUGAACAUCCUAAUAGAUAUAUCUUUGUGUGUGUCGUGAUAAUUUCUUUGGGACAGAAUGCCAGGGAAGGAAUUGCUAGCUGUGCAAAAGUAAUGCCAAUAGAGUCAUUUCAAGUGGUUUCCCAGGUCUAGACUUGAAAGAUGCAUGGACCUGCUUCCACAUCCUUUCUAUUCAGCAUGGUCUGGGUCACGUAAGGACGAAGAUGUGGAAGAGGCCAAGAUGCCAAAAGCCCUGGCUCCACCUGCAUCCCUGAAGUUGAAAAGGCUCACAAAUUGCACAGCCUAGCAUGGCUCCAGGAAGCUCUUCUUAAAGCUGUUAUGUUACCAGGCAAAGGAGAGCCAUAGAGAUAUGGUCUAGGGUUCAAUGGGCAUUGGAGAUCCUAUCCCUCUACUGAGCAUCUUCUGGGGCUGAAACUUGGUAAUUUCUACAAAUCCAAGAGCUUCCCCUAGACCGGUAGGCCAAAUCAUGUCUGAAUAGGACUCGACUCUGACCUCCUCCAAAUUCCUUCCCUGGGCACUGUGACUAUUGAUUUCUUGAGUAUUCUGUUCUUGAUGGGUAUUGAGGGGGGAAUGGGAUAUACAGAGAGAAGGUUAGACCUGUAUGUUUCAUCUAACCUCUUUUUUCAAUUCCUUUCUCUUCCAGGAGUUGUCAAGUCUGGGUGGGCUCGAGGGAAGGGGCCUACAUUUGUCCCUGUUCCUCCUUUGAAAGACCCCAAGAGAUCCAGAAAGGAGGGCCAGGGAUCUGCUUACCUACAUCGACAUUGUCCCAGCCUCAUACUGUUCUCCGAUGGUCAGAACAGACCUUUUCAGGGCAACCAGCUUGAGGGAGACCACUUGUCUGGGCUAUGUCUUCUUGACUCUCUAAAAGAGCCAGGGAGGGCCUUCUCAUGGCCAGGAUGUCCACUUUCAGAGCACAGAGGAGUCUGUGUCCUCGCAGAACCUGGAAAAUGAUCCAAUGUGUGCAGGCCCUGAUAGGCUGUCUGGUUUUUGCUCCACAGACAAUUGUUCCGGUUCAGUAUGAAACAAGAAUGGCUUGCGGGCUAGUCAAGGGCCAUGCCUACUCUGUCACUGGGCUGGAGGAGGUGAGGCUGAUGGCGCGGGUGGCUGGGGAGCUAUUUGGGUCAGCCUCCUGAAGUCAGGACUUAACUUACUGGGCCCCUUCACCUAGGCAGAGCUUGCCUCCUCUCAGAGGCACCACUCAUGGUCUGGGCCCAGCACCUGCAUGCAGUUAGAGGGGACCAUUGGGACUGUGAGACGUGGAUCUUGCCACAAGGUGGUGCUCAGUUCAUCUUUGCUUUUAGCGCUAAAAAUGGCAGUUUUCCCAACAGUUCCAGGGAACAAAUAGAAAUCACUUUGGUUUUAUGAAAUUGAUUUCAUGGGCUCUCAUGUCUCCUUUUCUUUGGGAGUUGAACAGAUUCAAUACUUUGCUCCCCCUGACACGUCGGGCUGAAGACAGGAAAUUUGUCAGGACUAUUGUGCACAGCUGGGCAGGCAGGCUGUGCCCUGUUCACAGGGAUGGGCAGAGACUGGAGGAAGGGGUGCCUUUUUCUUUUCUUUUUUUCUUUUUUUUUUUGAGAGACAGAGACAGCACAAGCAGGGGAGGGGCAGAGAGAGAGGGAGGCACAGAAUCCGAAAUAGGCUCCAGGCACUGAGCUGUCAGCACAGAGCCUGACUCAGGGCUCAAAUUCACAGACUGCAAGACCACCUGAGCCAAAGUUGGACACUUGACUGACUGAGCCACCCAGGUGCCCCAAAGGGCACCUUUUUCUAAUCAGUCCAUCUAUGAUGGCCAUUUCUGUAUAGUUACUCAGCCAGCAGGGUGUUUUUUCUAAUUCAAACAAAGACACCUAAUGUGUUAGAGUGGCCCUACAGUAUAUGCCCUCCCUCCUCCCCCAAAGCUCAUAAUGGCUGGGAAAACCACUUCUUAGAAGAUGGUCAAGCCCUAACCUCUGCAGACUCAGUCCUAAGGUUCUGACCAUUCACCUUGCCAUUCUGCAAGCGUGCCUCUGAUUAGUCUCCCCGACCAGGACCAGGCAGGACAGCCCCCUGUACAGGAUUCUGUCCCCAUUCCCUCCCCAGCCCUCAGGGCAAGACAGAAAACCCCCUUUCCAGAAAGGCCCAUAGCAAGAGUUUUUUCUCUUUGCCCAAGACCCUGUUCAAGGGUGAGAAAGUGAAGCUGGUACGGCUGCGGAAUCCCUGGGGCCAGGUGGAGUGGAACGGCUCCUGGAGUGACAGGUAGGUGAGGGGGACGGUCCAUGAGAAGGGGACAAACAGCCUGGGGCAAGGCUGGGUUGCAUAUCAAGAUAUAUGAGGAUUACAAAUGCGUGGUCUAAAAUUACCCUCCAGACCCAUGAUCCACAGAGGGGAAGUGGGUAUGUGGGCUCUAGGGAAAGGCCCACAGAAGAGCCAGGAGAGCUGGGGAUCCAGAGACCUCACUGAUGGCAUUGACUGGAAAGUUUCUAAAAAGCACGGGCUAGGUCCAGGUAGAAGCAAAGUGUGAAUGCAGGGGUCUGGACUAGACAAGGGAUUUCCCUUCUCAGAGUCUCUGUGUCCUUAUCUGUAAAAUGGGAACAACACUAACACUUACGUGGUGGGCUGGAGAGUGCCUAGCCAGUGCUAAGAUUUCCUGUCCCUUGCUGUCCCCAUGAAAAAGGUGCACAGUCCCCCUGAAAGAUCUUACCACUUAUCAGUGAAUGGAAUGAACUGGGUGCAGCGAAAGUACAAACACGGGGGACAUUUACAAAGGAACAUUUACAAGGCUUCAUAGGCUGAUGGCCAAUUGCCUCACUGAGUGGAGAGAAGCCCCUUGAGUGCCUCUUUUAUUCCCAAGAGGAGAUAGCAGGACUCAGUAGCCAUGUGUGCCUUCAGCCCCUGUGCUUACCUCCACCCAGGGCACCAUCAUUACUGGUUCAUUCAGCUCUUCAUUUGCUGAGUAAGUCUUAUUGAGCACCUACUGAACAGCAGGCACAGGCACAGACACUGAGGAUAUUCUGUGAAUAGGCAGCCUCCCUGGAUGACUGAGGGGUUGACUCUAGUCCUCUUACUGCCUCUUGCAGCCAUUCUCUGGCAUUCCUUCACUCAUCAGGGAGACAAAUCCUUACUUCCUCUGUGCUGAGUGUGCGGCCAGCCCCAUGCUACUAGCUGGGACCUAGAAACGAACAGACAUAGGCCCUGCCCCUGCAGACUCCAGUGGGAAGGACAAAAAAAGCCCCACUGAUGAUUAAAAUAAAUGCUAUCAUAAAGGUCACAAAGAAGGAUCCCCUCACCUAGUUUGCAUGGGACAGGAAGAAUAGAAAAAUGUGGCCUGGUGAGAGUGGCAUUUGACCUGUGCUCUCUGCUCUGGGAAGACCCUCAGUGCCCCAGCAGUUGUCCAUUCUACUGGGCCAGGUCACCCACAGGGACCCUCACUGUGUCCUCCAGCCUCAUUGUUUGGUGUCCAGCCUUAACUCAUGUCCUGCCAAUGCCUCGACUGCAGGGACUGCUGACAAGUGGGGCCCAUCUCUGGGCCUGUAUUGUAUCCUCCCCCCUUUUUUUAAUAUUUAUUUAUUUUUGAGAGAGAAAGAGAGGGAGGGGCAUAGAGAGCGGGAGACAGAGAAUCAUAAGCAGGCUCCGCACUGUCAGAAGAGAGCCCGAUGUGGGGCUCGAACUCACAAACCCUGAGAUCACAACCUGAGCCAAAAUCAAGUCUGAUGCUUAACCAGGUGAGCCAGUUGAGCUACCUGAGCCGCCUAGGGGCCCUCCCAACCCCCCCCCCAACCCUCCCCACCCCAUGUCCCUCCUUCUGCUGUCUCAGUAAUCUCCAUUUCCCCUCUAGCAUUCCCUGACCCCAAGCACUUCCUCAAUCUUUUACCUUUCCAAGGACAACCCAGUUUAGUUUUAUUCUCCUCAACAAGCCUGAAACACAGAUGUGUUGUUUCCUCCCUCUUGAGGAGACAUGUGGAAAAAUCAUCCUGCCUUUAGAAACAUGAAGCCAGGCUAUUUCCUGGGGUGACAGGAGAAAGGAAAUGUUUACAUACAUGGUGUUUUUCUCAGUAACUCAGUUACUUGUUAGAUGGCAGGCACUGGUCUACAAGUUUUACAUGUAUUAUUUCAUUCAUUGCUCAUCACAGCCAUAUAAGUAGAUCAUAAUACUCAUUCUUCUUUUGCAAUUGAGAAAACAGAAGCUGAGAGGUUAAGUGCCAUGCCCAAGGUUAUGUAGCUAGCAAUGGUAUUAUCAAAUGGCAUCCAGUUAAUCUAUUUCCAAAGGUCAACUCUUAACCUUUAAAGUGAGGAGGGAUAUGGGACACCUGGGUGGGUCAAUCAGUUAAGCGGACUUCAGCUCAGGUCAUGAUCUCGAAGUCCCAGAGUUCAAUCCCCGUGUUGGCCUCUUUGCCGACAGCUCACAGCCUGAAGCCUGCUUCAGAUUCUGUGCUUCUGUCUCUCUGUCCCUCCCCUGUUCACUCUCUCUCUCUCUCUCUCUCUCUCUCAAAAACAAACAAAAACAAAAAAACAGAAAUGAAAAACAUUAAAAAAAAUUUAAAGUGUGAGGAGGAAACAAAAAAUUGUCCAGAGAAAGGUUAAGCCCUUACAAACCCAUUUAAGGCCUUACUUACUCCUGAGGAUAGUAGAAGGCCAUUACUGGGUUUUACACUGAGGGAAUCAGAUCAGAUUUCCAUAUCUGAUGCUUCCUGCUUGCUGCAAUUUGGAGAUGGGCUACUCUUUCAACUUUUUCGUAUUUCUCUUGAUACCUCCUGUCCCAUCCCACGUCAGGCCUCUCCCGUUCUUCUUCCUUCCAUAAUUCCUCCAUUUUCCCUCCAGUUGGAAGGACUGGAGCUUUGUGGACAAAGCUGAGAAGGCCCGUCUGCAGCACCAGGUCACUGAGGAUGGAGAGUUCUGGUGAGUCCAGGACCCAAGAGGACCCUGAAGGGUAAGGGAUCCAGUGGGGAGCUGAAAUCUCAAACCUCAAUCCCUGGAAAGAGGCCAUCACAUUGUAGCUCUCAGGAGAUCUGGGCCCUGUUCUCUUCCUCCAGCCCAAAGCCCAACAGGAUGGGGUUCUGAGAGGAGCCAGCCAGUCACAGAAACAACUAGAGCCUGGGACCAGGCCAGCACAAGGUGGCUCCUGCUUCGCCUAUAUCCCUCCGACGUGCACAUGGCCCCAGCCACUUGCUCCCUGUCUCCUGGGCCAAAGCAGCUCUGCUUUGCUCACCCAAUGCCACCCUCAUCCUCACUCGGCUCAUUUCUACUCAGCCCUUGAGUCUCAGCUUAAAGGAAACUUUUCCGGAUCCCUGUGUUUUGCCCAGAACUGGGAUUAAUUAGUGAGACUCAUCAUCCUUGAAAUUGCUUGCUUAGUUGUCUGUCCUUCCUCAAACUGUCUUUCUUUCCGGUGAGCCCAGCACAGCACCGGGGCCCAGGGCAGAGGCACACGGUGCCAUUGGGAGAACUGAAUUGCUACCGAGCUCUCCCAGAGAGGACACAGGAGUUUGAGCUAUUACUGGAAGAGACAGUAGUUUGGGGUGGAGGCAUGAGAACUGACAGUGUUUACCCUAACGAGGAAGGGCAGGGGCGUCCCUGGGGCCAUGCCCAAGUUCCUGUGAACUGUGUGAUGGUGCUGCUCCGGUCCCCGAGUCUUACCUCUCCCAGCCUCCCAUAUGGGUCUCUCUCUUCCAACCUCUCAGGAUGUCAUAUGACGAUUUCAUCUACCAUUUCACAAAGCUGGAGAUCUGCAACCUCACGGCGGAUGCCCUGGAGUCCGACAAGAUGCAGACGUGGACGGUCUCCGUGAACGAGGGCCGCUGGGUGAGGGGCUGUUCUGCCGGAGGCUGCCGCAACUUCCCAGGUGGGAGAGGCUCGGGAUGGGGGAGGGUCCAAGGGCAACAAGUUCCAGGUGGAAUAAUUCCAUUCACUGAGUCUGUAUUAAGUUCCAGGUGUAUCUUAUCUUAUUAAACCCUCCCUAUUUUACCAAGAAGGAAACCGCCUGCUGAGGAGUGUGCGGUGGGGAGCUGGUAACAACUUUUCAGCAGGACACUGUGUCGGAACAACACUACAUUCAUAAUGCUGAGAAUGGGACUGGAAAACGGAGUUAGCAGAGCCUGCCAGGGCACAAGCCAGAGAUGAUGAAAACCAAAGCAAGUCGGGGGCAGCAGAGAUGGAGGGAAGAGGGCAGAUUUAGGGAACAGAAUAUUGGGUGACGUCACUGAAGAGUGACUUCAAGCUUCCCAGUUUGGGGGGCCCGAGUGGAUGGUGUCAAUGUCGCAAUGUAAAACAUACAGGAGGGAAAAAUCAGCAUGUUGUUUGUUUUUUUGGUGGAGUUGGUUGUGGGCUUGUGGGGAGAGGAGUUCGGUUUGGCACAUGGGAAGUUGAGGCACCUGUAGAAAUAUCCAGGUGAAGACGUGUCCUAGAGAAUUGGAUACACAGAUUAGAAUGGUACUUGGUUGUAUGAUUAGAACUUGAUAUAUAUUUGUGGAAUAUAUAUAGUUCAGGCAUUAUGGUCAUGCAGGGACAGUUAAAAAGUGGAUAAAACAGGAGCGCCUGGGUGGCUCAGUCAGUUAAGUGUCCGACUUUCCAUCUCAGCUCGGGUCACGAUCUCAGGGGUUUGUGAGUUGGAGCCCCACAUGAGGCUCACAGCUGUCAGUUCAGAGCCUGCUUUGGAUUCUCUGUCUCCCUCUUUCUCUGCCCCUCCCUGCUCUCUCUCUCUCAAAAAUAAACAUUAAAAAAAGUUUUUUUAAGUGGAUAAGACGGCCUAGGGAGGCAGAAUAGUGGGGUGGGAGAGAGGCCUAAGACCACAUCCCAAGGACCAACAACAUUUAAAGGGCAGGUGAGGAAAGGGAAACCAUCAGCAGAGAAUGAGAAUCACAGCUCCGGGAGGGGGAAGAAGCCACACACAGCCAAGCAGUGAGGCUCCAUCUCUAUAAAGGUGGAGCACAGUUCCCCCCACAUAGUUUGGCAAAUGCCUGCGUCAUGCCUUCUGUAUUUAUUGAGCGCCUAGAUGCAGGGGAUAAAUAGGUUCCCUCUGUCUUAUUUCCCUUCCUGACCUUUCUCUGAGAGGCAGAUCUGAAUGUACGUUUCCUUCCUUGGGGGCACAGACACUUUCUGGACCAACCCACAGUACCGUCUGAAGCUCCUGGAGGAGGACGAUGACCCUGAAGACUCGGAGGUGAUCUGCAGCUUCCUGGUGGCCCUGAUGCAGAAGAACCGGAGGAAGGACCGGAAGCUGGGGGCCAACCUCUUCACCAUUGGCUUUGCCAUCUACGAGGUGUGCAGUUCCUAACUAGCUUUAGCCCAGGAAACACAUUCCUUGGGGGUGGGGAGCCUCCCAAAUACUCAGUGCCCGCCCCCCUGGCCCUGAACUCCUAGAAUCAGACCCUCAUGUGUCAGAAUCUCUUAGAUAUUUGUAAUGAGUGGAAAAAACCAGGUUGGGGGAGAUGGAGCAGGGCUGGGCUGGGGCUGGGGCUGGCCAGAUAGAUGAGGAGUAGAUGAGGAGUCAGACAUCUGCAUUCACUCCACAGUUGUGGGCAUUCCCUCCCUGCAAGAGUUUCAUCCCCAUUCAGAUCUGAAGUCCACAGAAUCUGAGCGUCUUCUUUUUCUGUUUCUCCUCAAGGUUCCCAAAGAGGUACAGAAGUGGCAGCGGCCAGCAGUUGUGUGCAGCAUUACCUGGGGGUCCUGUGUCCAUCAGUGGCACAUCGGGAAGCUUCCUGGUGGGGUUUGAGGACAGGACUAUGAUAGGAGAGGGUCUCGCCUGGGUCACACAACUCCAGAGCGGGUGCCUCAGGGUACUGCAUGACCCCCUGACUAUCACCCUCAUGAGAAGCCCUUUAUCCCUUCCCACCAGAGACUGUCACACAUACGCUCUCACACAUUCAUACGCACUUCUUCUCUCACACACACGCAUACACUUGCUCACACUCAUACACAUUUGUACUCACAGUUACACACUCACGCACACAGUCACACAGACACAUUCUGAGGGUGACUGCCCUCUUUGGGAUGGAGGAAUCGCCUCCCUCAGACCCCAGCCAAGGCCCCUCCUGCCUCCUUGGGGUCCUUCCCCAGCCUGGAGGUGAUUUGGAGCUGACCAGCAGCAGUUCUGGUAAGUGGGGGGAAUGAUAGACUUGACCUUCACUUCUGAAUCACAACAGAAAAAGAGGAAAUGGGGUAGGGAGCUCCAGGGAUGUUGAGCUAUUUGAGGCCUUGGGAAUCGGAAGUAGGUAGGUCAUGACAGUGAACUGGGUAACCAGGGAGUUGGGGUAACCCCUGGACGGGGACUGUGAGCAGGACAGGACAUCCUUCUGGAGGAGCUCAGGUCCCUCGGGCUCUUCUCCCCUUCAGAUGCACGGGAACAAGCAGCACCUGCAGAAGGACUUCUUCCUGUACAAUGCCUCCAAGGCCAGGAGCAAGACCUACAUCAACAUGCGGGAGGUGUCUGAGCGCUUCCGCCUACCUCCCAGCGAGUAUGUCAUCGUGCCCUCCACCUAUGAGCCACACCAGGAGGGAGAAUUCAUCCUCCGGGUGUUCUCUGAAAAAAGGAACCUCUCUGAGUGAGUCAGCCUGCUUUCCCCUCCUGUCCCUAAAAGCCCAUGUGGCCCAUUCCAGAGAUUGGAGAUGUGAGGUAGCUGGACCUGUCACCUCCAGGAAUCCUGGGAUAUGUUGGCCAGGCUGCCCUUCUUCCUCUGCUCCUGAGUCACUGGCCACAUCUCCUCCAUUUGUUUAGUCAGUCUGUCACCCCACAGAUCUCUAUAGAGAACCUACUAAGUUCCAGGCACUCUUUUUCUAGGGACUAAGGAUAGAACAGUGAAUUAAACAGAAAGAAAUCCCUGCCCUCAUGGAGUUCAACAUUCUAGCAUGAGACAGCAAUGCAUAGGGGGAAAAAUAUGCAUAUAUGUGUUUGAGGGAGGUAAGUGAUAAGGAGAAAGAAAUACAGUAGGGAACAAGGAUAGGAGGCAUUAGGGGUGACGGAACUUUUAUGUGAGGUGACCAGGGAAGCCAGCAAGGCCACAUCCUGCAUUUUUUGCUCACUGCAGAUGAUUUCAUAAGCCCAACUACUCUGGACUCUGCCCUUGAGAAACACAAAGUCUAGGGGUAGGUGGCUGAGUCUGGGCACCUGGGCAAAGCCAACAAGAACCCAUGUGUCUGCACUUGGCUGCUGGGGAUGGUGCCUACAUGGGGUUGGUUCCCGUGGUGGAGUAUUAGUUCCUGUGGUUCCCUUGAAGUCAGCUCUGACUUGGCUCUGAGGACCUGUGUGGCCUGGGCAAAUUCUCUCUAUGCUACCUGCUUACUCCUGGGGACAGUGAGACCCCCGCUCAUGUUUGUGUUUCUCCACAGGGAAGUUGAAAAUACAAUCUCCGUGGAUCGGCCCGUGGUGAGUGCUUUAGUUCUUAUGUGUGAGAAGGUCCAGAGGCUCACCUUCCCCCAUGCAGGCAGGGGACAUAGGGGCGGUGGAGGGGAGAGUGGGUAUUGGCAGAGAAGAUGGGAGUCUGGGGCCUGCAGGGCAAUUCUUCCAUGUUAGUGCAGUUUCUGUUUGUCCCAACUAGAGGUAACAGGCCUCACGGUACUGGGCCGUGUACUCAAUCCAGGGUCUAGGAAGCACAGAAGAAGAGUCUUGGAAGGGAAAAGCAGUUUGAACAGCGAGAGAGAGGGGUCAAGGCCAUAGUAAGGGACAACAAGAGCAACAGAUUGGAUUAUGAGAGUCAGUCUCACAUAUGGAAAAGAAUACACACCAGCUCUGGAGUCAGCAUCAAAACCUGGGUCCUCCACCUAGAGCUGGGUGAUUUGGACAAGUUAUGUAACCCCUCAUUUUCCUACUCUGUAAAAUGGGGACAAUAAUAUGUGCCUUGCAAGGCUCUUAGGAAGUUUGA